This 413-nucleotide ribosomal RNA is filed under the name uncultured bacterium. RNAcentral's name for it is "bacterial SSU rRNA". It matches the Rfam family "Bacterial small subunit ribosomal RNA", at positions 108 to 518 of the family's 1533-position model. The record is from RNAcentral.
GAGUAACGCGUAUCCAACCUUCCCUAUAGUAGAGGAUAGCCCGGCGAAAGUCGGAUUAAUACUCUAUGUUUCCGUUGCAGACAUCUAAGAUGGAACAAAGGCUUGCCGCUAUAGGAUGGGGGAUGCGUCUGAUUAGGUAGUCGGCGGGGUAACGGCCCACCGAGCCAUCGAUCAGUAGGGGUUCUGAGAGGAAGGUCCCCCACAUUGGAACUGAGACACGGUCCAAACUCCUACGGGAGGCAGCAGUGAGGAAUAUUGGUCAAUGGGCGAGAGCCUGAACCAGCCAAGUAGCGUUGCAGGACGACGGCCCUAUGGGUUGUAAACUGCUUUUGUGCGGGAAUAAAGUUUGGGACGUGUCCCAUUUUGCAUGUACCGCACGAAUAAGGACCGGCUAAUUCCGUGCCAGCAGCGGC